AAGGAUGAAUCAAGUUUUGACAAUGGCAUAAACUUUUUAUCCGUGGUCCAAUAGAGGGUGCAGUAGAAAACACAAAUUUGGAUAGAAACUGUUCUUUGAUGCGACCCCAAUUCAUGGGAAUUGCUGAAACCAUAACCAAUUAUCAAUGGGUGGAAGCAGACUAACCUGAGUGGGAAGCUAACAUUUGGGUAGAGAAAUGACAGCCACCUCUGCUUGCUUCCGCUUAUGGGUCCCGAGUCCCAACCUUUAUAGUGGAAUUAAG
This 262-nucleotide unclassified non-coding RNA is filed under the name Hevea brasiliensis (rubber tree). Lineage: Eukaryota; Viridiplantae; Streptophyta; Magnoliopsida; Malpighiales; Euphorbiaceae. The record is from RNAcentral.